GUAGGUGAACCUGCGGAAGGAUCAUUAACACGUUUCGUUCCGAACGUUUUUGACCCAUCUAUUUUCCGUGCACCCCCCUUAACCGGCCUCCUGGCUCGACCUUCCGGUUUACUGGAUGUGUCCGGUCAGGCGUCUUCAGGGUCCAUAGGAGCAUCGGUUCGGAAGGAUUGUGCGGGCGUAAUGCCUGCCUUUCUUAGUACGUGUCGAAGCACCUCCUGGAGGCGUUGCCACCCAACCCCAACCCUUAAAUCUAAUUGCUCUGAACUAACAGUUGACGCGGGUCGCAAGGCUCGUUUCAACGAAGAUAAACAAACAACAACUCUUAACAACGGAUAUCUUGGUUCUC
This 346-nucleotide unclassified non-coding RNA is filed under the name rhizosphere metagenome. Its description in RNAcentral is "partial ribosomal RNA internal transcribed spacer region". The record is from RNAcentral.